This is a small nuclear RNA of Grammomys surdaster, 107 nucleotides long. The record is from RefSeq and is a predicted model, not a curated record. Lineage: Eukaryota; Metazoa; Chordata; Mammalia; Rodentia; Muridae.
GUGCUCGAUUCAGCAGCACAUAUACUAAAAUUGGAACAAUAUCUAGAAGAUUAACAUGGUCCCUGUGCAAGGAUAACAUGAAAAUUUGUGAAGUGUUCCAUAUUUAA